Molecule: ribosomal RNA, 619 nt
Filed under: uncultured bacterium
Lineage: Bacteria
Description: bacterial SSU rRNA
Rfam family: Bacterial small subunit ribosomal RNA
Source: RNAcentral
CCUACGGGAGGCAGCAGUGGGGAAUCUUGCGCAAUGCACGAAAGUGUGACGCGGCAACGCCGCGUGGAGGGAGAAGGCUCUCGGGUCGCAAACUCCUUUCAGUUGGGACGAAGCUUCGUCGGUUAAUAGCCGGCUGGAGUGACGGUACCUUCACAAGAAGCACCGGCUAACUACGUGCCAGCAGCCGCGGUAAUACGUAGGGUGCAAGCGUUGUCCGGAAUCAUUGGGCGUAAAGAGCGUGUAGGCGGCCCGAUUAGUCCGCUGUGAAAGUCCAGGGCUCAACCCUGGAAUGCCGGUGGAUACUGUCGGGCUCGAGUCCGGAAGAGGCGAGUGGAAUUCCUGGUGUAGCGGUGAAAUGCGCAGAUAUCAGGAAGAACACCAACGGCGAAGGCAGCUCGCUGGGACGGUACUGACGCUGAGACGCGAAAGCGUGGGGAGCAAACAGGAUUAGAUACCCUGGUAGUCCACGCCGUAAACGAUGGGUACUAGGUGUGGGGGUGUCGACUCCCCCGUGCCGAAGCUAACGCAUUAAGUACCCGCCUGGGGAGUACGGCCGCAAGGCUAAAACCUUAAAGGAAUUGACGGCGNGAGACGNGCGAGGACGACGACGAGGGAGAGG